AGCAGUCGCCGCGGGAAAACGUAGGGUGCAAGCGUUAAUCGGAAUUACUGGGCGUAAAGCGUGCGUAGGCGGUUUGUUAAGUCUGUUGUGAAAUCCCCGGGCUCAACCUGGGAAUGGCAAUGGAUACUGGCAAGCUAGAGUGUGUCAGAGGAUGGUGGAAUUCCCGGUGUAGCGGUGAAAUGCGUAGAGAUCGGGAGGAACAUCAGUGGCGAAGGCGGCCAUCUGGGACAACACUGACGCUGAGGCACGAAAGCGUGGGGAGCAAACAGGAUUAGAUACCCCCGUAGUCCCUGUCUCUUAUAA
Molecule: ribosomal RNA, 303 nt
Filed under: uncultured bacterium
Lineage: Bacteria
Description: partial 16S ribosomal RNA
Rfam family: Bacterial small subunit ribosomal RNA
Source: RNAcentral